RNAcentral lists this ribosomal RNA (700 nucleotides) under uncultured bacterium. RNAcentral's name for it is "bacterial SSU rRNA". It matches the Rfam family "Bacterial small subunit ribosomal RNA", at positions 8 to 754 of the family's 1533-position model. The record is from RNAcentral.
AGAGUUUGAUCAUGGCUCAGAGCGAACGCUGGCGGCAGGCCUAACACAUGCAAGUCGAACGGACCCUUCGGGGUUAGUGGCGGACGGGUGAGUAACACGUGGGAACGUGCCUUUAGGUUCGGAAUAGCUCCUGGAAACGGGUGGUAAUGCCGAAUGUGCCCUUCGGGGGAAAGAUUUAUCGCCUUUAGAGCGGCCCGCGUCUGAUUAGCUUGUUGGUGAGGUAAUGGCUCACCAAGGCUACGAUCAGUAGCUGGUCUGAGAGGAUGACCAGCCACAUUGGGACUGAGACACGGCCCAAACUCCUACGGGAGGCAGCAGUGGGGAAUCCUGCGCAAUGGGCGAAAGCCUGACGCAGCCAUGCCGCGUGUAUGAUGAAGGUCUUAGGAUUGUAAAAUACUUUCACCGGUGAAGAUAAUGACUGUAGCCGGAGAAGAAGCCCCGGCUAACUUCGUGCCAGCAGCCGCGGUAAUACGAAGGGGGCUAGCGUUGCUCGGAAUUACUGGGCGUAAAGGGAGCGUAGGCGGACAUUUAAGUCAGAGGUGAAAUCCCGGAGCUUAACUUCGGAACUGCCUUUGAUACUGGAUGUCUUGAGUGUGAGAGAGGUAUGUGGAACUCCGAGUGUAGAGGUGAAAUUCGUAGAUAUUCGGAAGAACACCAGUGGCGAAGGCGACAUACUGGCUCAUUACUGACGCUGAGGCUC